RNAcentral lists this ribosomal RNA (284 nucleotides) under Limosilactobacillus reuteri. Its description in RNAcentral is "partial 23S ribosomal RNA". It matches the Rfam family "Bacterial large subunit ribosomal RNA", at positions 1490 to 1781 of the family's 2925-position model. The record is from RNAcentral. Lineage: Bacteria; Bacillati; Bacillota; Bacilli; Lactobacillales; Lactobacillaceae.
CCGUACGAUUGGAAGAGUACGGCCAAGCAGCAAGUCAGGAUGCGAGUCAAAUGUUUGCAUCCGGCUUGACAAGCUGUGAUGGGGAGCAAAAUAAAAGUAGCGAAGUUGCCGAUGUCACACUGCCGAGAAAAGCUUCUAAGGAGUAGUUAACUGCCCGUACCGCACACCGACACAGGUAGUCGAGGAGAGAAUCCUAAGGUGAGCGAGAGAACUCUCGUUAAGGAACUCGGCAAAAUGACCCCGUAACUUCGGGAGAAGGGGUGCUGGCCGCAAGGCCAGCCGCA